UACGGAGGAUGCGAGCGUUAUCCGGAUUUAUUGGGUUUAAAGGGUGCGUAGGCGGAAGUUCAAGUCAGCGGUAAAAUCGAGGGGCUCAACCCCUUUAAGCCGUUGAAACUGGGUUUCUUGAGUGGGCGAGAAGUGUGCGGAAUGUGUGGUGUAGCGGUGAAAUGCAUAGAUAUCACACAGAACUCCGAUUGCGAAGGCAGCACACCGGCGCCCGACUGACGCUGAGGCACGAAAGCGUGGGGAUCAAACAGG
RNAcentral lists this ribosomal RNA (252 nucleotides) under Muribaculum intestinale. Its description in RNAcentral is "partial 16S ribosomal RNA". It matches the Rfam family "Bacterial small subunit ribosomal RNA", at positions 524 to 776 of the family's 1533-position model. The record is from RNAcentral. Lineage: Bacteria; Pseudomonadati; Bacteroidota; Bacteroidia; Bacteroidales; Muribaculaceae.